Molecule: ribosomal RNA, 468 nt
Filed under: uncultured bacterium
Lineage: Bacteria
Description: partial 16S ribosomal RNA
Rfam family: Bacterial small subunit ribosomal RNA
Source: RNAcentral
GACGAACGCUGGCGGCGUGCUUAACACAUGCAAGUCGAACGGAAAGGCCCUGCUUUUGUGGGGUGCUCGAGUGGCGAACGGGUGAGUAACACGUGAGUAACCUGCCCUUGACUUUGGGAUAACUUCAGGAAACUGGGGCUAAUACCGGAUAGGAGCUCCUGCUGCAUGGUGGUGGUUGGAAAGUUUCGGCGGUUGGGGAUGGACUCGCGGCUUAUCAGCUUGUUGGUGGGGUAGUGGCUUACCAAGGCUUUGACGGGUAGCCGGCCUGAGAGGGUGACCGGCCACAUUGGGACUGAGAUACGGCCCAGACUCCUACGGGAGGCAGCAGUGGGGAAUAUUGCACAAUGGGCGGAAGCCGGAUGCAGCAACGCCGCGUGCGGGAUGACGGCCUUCGGGUUGUAAACCGCUUUCGCCUGUGAUGAAGCGUGAGUGACGGUAAUGGGUAAAGAAGCAACGGCUAACUACGUG